GAUUCACUAUUCUCCUUCGUUCUCGUUCUCUGGGCCUGAGUCACAUGCCACACAGCCACCAAGGCCUGGAAUCCUGGCUGGCAUCUGAGGGUGUGGAGUUCACAGGAGCGCCAGACACCAGUUCCAGUACAGGUGCAGGCAAGGAACUCUGGAAGGUCUUGGGAAUCCCAAAUGCUCCCACUGAAAGCAAGAGCUGCAACUAAAAUCAACACAAACCACAUGCCUACGGCCAAGUGUCUGCUCCAACCCCACUCCACAGUGAAGCUCCACAAGCACCAAGCCUCUCAGAGACAGAAGCAUCAGCAAGUGCCCCCAGCUUCCGGCCCACCAGGAUAAAGUCCGGACUCCUCCGUCCGGCACCCGCACCAUCCUG
Molecule: long non-coding RNA, 373 nt
Organism: Bubalus bubalis (water buffalo)
Lineage: Eukaryota; Metazoa; Chordata; Mammalia; Artiodactyla; Bovidae
Exons: 3
Source: RefSeq, a predicted model, not a curated record